Molecule: ribosomal RNA, 373 nt
Filed under: uncultured organism
Description: partial 16S ribosomal RNA
Rfam family: Bacterial small subunit ribosomal RNA
Source: RNAcentral
GUAGGUGGCAAGCGUUGUCCGGAAUUAUUGGGGCGUAAAGCGCGCGCAGGCGGUUCUUUAAGUCUGAUGUGAAAGCCCACGGGCUCAACCGUGGAGGGUCAUUGGAAACUGGAGAACUUGAGUACAGAAGAGGAAAGCGGAAUUCCACGUGUAGCGGUGAAAUGCGUAGAGAUGUGGAGGAACACCAGUGGCGAAGGCGGCUUUCUGGUCUGUAACUGACGCUGAGGCGCGAAAGCGUGGGGAGCAAACAGGAUUAGAUACCCUGGUAGUCCACGCCGUGAACGAUGAGUGCUAAGUGUUAGGGGGUUUCCGCCCCUUAGUGCUGCAGCUAACGCAUUAAGCACUCCGCCUGGGGAGUACGGCCGCAGGGCUG